RNAcentral lists this ribosomal RNA (460 nucleotides) under uncultured bacterium. RNAcentral describes it as "partial 16S ribosomal RNA". It matches the Rfam family "Bacterial small subunit ribosomal RNA", at positions 338 to 795 of the family's 1533-position model. The record is from RNAcentral.
CCUACGGGUGGCAGCAGUGAGGAAUAUUGGUCAAUGGGCUCAAGCCUGAACCAGCCAAGUAGCGUGAAGGAUGACUGCCCUACGGGUUGUAAACUUCUUUUAUAAGGGAAUAAAGUGAGGCACGUGUGCCUUUUUGUAUGUAUUUUAUGAAUAAGGAUCGGCGAACUCCGUGCCAGCAGCCGCGGUAAUACGGAGGAUCCGAGCGUUAUCCGGAUUUAUUGGGUUUAAAGGGAGCGUAGAUGGGUUGGUAAGUCAGGUGUGAAAGUUUGCGGCUCAACCGUAAAAUUGCAAUUGAUACUGGCAGCCUUGAGUACAGUAGAGGUAGGCGGAAUUCGUGGUGUAGCGGUGAAAUGCUUAGAUAUCACGAAGAACUCCGAUUGCGAAGGCAGCCUACUAGACUGCCACUGACACUGAGGCUCGAAAGUGUGGGUAUCAAACAGGAUUAGAUACCCGAGUAGUC